CAAUCCGCGCCCUUCCCCCCCCACCUCUGCCUAGCCUAAGCCACGCCUUCUUCUCUUGGCUUAUGUGAGUUCAGCCGCUUUUCACAACUUUGAGGAACAAACGUUUGUACAGGAUUCUGCUGAUAGACGAAGAAGAGGAGGAGAAUAAUAAAAGAGAGAUGAAGAAUCGUCUGCUUCAUCCCCCUUCAGUGGGAUCAGUGUGCUUGCGGUGUUGAAUGGAAGGGAUGAUUGUAAAGAUGGAGUCCUGUGUUUACCAGAGGAGGCUGGUGAGGGGAGGACGGCUCAUAAUAAAGACUGGAACCGAGAGAAUGGAAUGCCAUCGAACACAUAUAUCCUCCAGGAGGUUUUAACUCCAACCCUGUUCCUGGAGAGAUACCCUCCAGGAGGAUUUAACUCCAACCCUGUUCCUGGAGAAACAGAGUAGAGAGCUGGUUGAACUAACUAAACUGGUAGAAACAGUAGAGAGCUGGUUGUAUAGACUGUAAACGGGUCCAAUGUAUUGCAUGCUGGGACAAGCCAUUUAAUAACUGGUGAGGAUGAUGAGGAUGACGAUGUUGUUACAGAUGUACGUAAGCUUCUGUUGUGAUCUUUCUUAUAUUAUGUAUGUUAUACCUGUCAGAUGUCAAUAAACACUUUUCUCCGUCGCUCGUCAAUAAACUGUCCAGUGAUUGGUUCAGUCACAGAC
This 685-nucleotide long non-coding RNA is filed under the name Salmo salar (Atlantic salmon). Its description in RNAcentral is "lncRNA (ENSSSAG00000083334.1)". The record is from RNAcentral. Lineage: Eukaryota; Metazoa; Chordata; Actinopteri; Salmoniformes; Salmonidae.